CCUACGGGAGGCAGCAGUAAGGAAUAUUGGUCAAUGGGAGAAAUCCUGAACCAGCAACGCCGCGUGAAGGACGAAGGGCUUUUAGCUUGUAAACAUCUUUUUUGAGGGAAAAAUAUACGAUUACUUCGUGUUGAUUGUACCUUGAGAAUAAGCCCCGGCUAACUACGUGCC
Molecule: ribosomal RNA, 171 nt
Filed under: uncultured bacterium
Lineage: Bacteria
Description: partial 16S ribosomal RNA
Rfam family: Bacterial small subunit ribosomal RNA
Source: RNAcentral